AAGUCGUAACAAGGUUUCCGUAGGUGAACCUGCGGAAGGAUCAUUAAAGAGACGUUGCCCUUCGGGGUAUACCUCCCACCCAUUGUUUAUUUACCUUUGUUGCUUUGGCAUGGUCCCGGCCUUCGGUCCCCGACCCGGCUCCCGGGCCUUGGCUCGAGGUGACUGUCGAAGAUACCAAAACUCUGUUUGUUAAUAUUGUCUGAGUACUAUAUAAUAGUUAAAA
Molecule: unclassified non-coding RNA, 223 nt
Filed under: plant metagenome
Description: partial contains small subunit ribosomal RNA and internal transcribed spacer 1
Rfam family: Eukaryotic small subunit ribosomal RNA (bases 1-46)
Source: RNAcentral